AAUUAUGUGCCUGAUUAAAGGAUUAAUUUGAUAGAUUAAAUAAUGAAAUAUUUUAAUUUCUUUA
Molecule: transfer RNA, 64 nt
Filed under: Trichonephila clavipes
Lineage: Eukaryota; Metazoa; Arthropoda; Arachnida; Araneae; Nephilidae
Description: tRNA-Ile
Source: RNAcentral